AUGCAAGUCGAACGGCAGCGCGAGAGAGCUUGCUCUCUUGGCGGCGAGUGGCGGACGGGUGAGUAAUAUAUCGGAACGUGCCCAGUAGCGGGGGAUAACUACUCGAAAGAGUGGCUAAUACCGCAUACGCCCUACGGGGGAAAGGGGGGGAUCGCAAGACCUCUCACUAUUGGAGCGGCCGAUAUCGGAUUAGCUAGUUGGUGGGGUAAAGGCUCACCAAGGCAACGAUCCGUAGCUGGUUUGAGAGGACGACCAGCCACACUGGGACUGAGACACGGCCCAGACUCCUACGGGAGGCAGCAGUGGGGAAUUUUGGACAAUGGGGGAAACCCUGAUCCAGCCAUCCCGCGUGUAUGAUGAAGGCCUUCGGGUUGUAAAGUACUUUUGGCAGAGAAGAAAAGGUAUCCCCUAAUACGGGAUGCUGCUGACGGUAUCUGCAGAAUAAGCACCGGCUAACUACGUGCCAGCAGCCGCGGUAAUACGUAGGGUGCAAGCGUUAAUCGGAAUUACUGGGCGUAAAGCGUGUGUAGGCGGUUCGGAAAGAAAGAUGUGAAAUCCCAGGGCUCAACCUUGGAACUGCAUUUUUAACUGCCGAGCUAGAGUAUGUCAGAGGGGGGUAGAAUUCCACGUGUAGCAUGAAAUGCGUAGAUAUGUGGAGGAAUACCGAUGGCGAAGCAGCCCCCUGGGAUAAUACUGACGCUCAGACACGAAAGCGUGGGGAGCAAACAGGAUUAGAUACCCUGGUAGUCCACGCCCUAAACGAUGUCAACUAGCUGUUGGGGCCGUUAGCCUUAGUAGCGCAGCUAACGCGUGAAGUUGACCGCCUGGGAGUACGGUCGCAGAUUAAACUCAGAGGAAUUGACGGGACCCGCACAGCGGUGAUGAUGUGAUUAAUUCGAUGCAACGCGAAAACCUUACUACACUUGACAUGUCUCGGAAUUACUGGGCGUAAAGCGUGUGUAGGCGGUUCGGAAAGAAAGAUGUGAAAUCCCAGGGCUCAACCUGGGAACUGCAUUUUAACUGCCGAGCUAGAGUAUGUCAGAGGGGGGUAGAAUUCCACGUGUAGCAGUGAAAUGCGUAGAUAUGUGGAGGAAUACCGAUGGCGAAGGCAGCCCCCUGGGAUAAUACUGACGCUCAGACACGAAAGCGUGGGGAGCAAACAGGAUUAGAUACCCUGGUAGUCCACGCCCUAAACGAUGUCAACUAGCUGUUGGGGCCGUUAGGCCUUAGUAGCGCAGCUAACGCGUGAAGUUGACCGCCUGGGGAGUACGGUCGCAAGAUUAAAACUCAAAGGAAUUGACGGGGACCCGCACAAGCGGUGGAUGAUGUGGAUUAAUUCGAUGCAACGCGAAAAACCUUACCUACCCUUGACAUGUCUGGAAAGCCGAAGAGAUUUGGCCGUGCUCGCAAGAGAACCGGAACACAGGUGCUGCAUGGCUGUCGUCAGCUCGUGUCGUGAGAUGUUGGGUUAAGUCCCGCAACGAGCGCAACCCUUGUCAUUAGUUGCUACGCAAGAGCACUCUAAUGAGACUGCCGGUGACAAACCGGAGGAAGGUGGGGAUGACGUCAAGUCCUCAUGGCCCUUAUGGGUAGGGCUUCACACGUCAUACAAUGGUCGGGACAGAGGGUCGCCAACCCGCGAGGGGGAGCCAAUCUCAGAAACCCGAUCGUAGUCCGGAUCGCAGUCUGCAACUCGACUGCGUGAAGUCGGAAUCGCUAGUAAUCGCGGAUCAGAAUGUCGCGGUGAAUACGUUCCCGGGUCUUGUACACACCGCCCGUCACACCAUGGGAGUGGGUUUCACCAGAAGUAGGUAGCCUAACCGUAAGGAGGGCGCUACCA
Molecule: ribosomal RNA, 1840 nt
Filed under: Alcaligenes aquatilis
Lineage: Bacteria; Pseudomonadati; Pseudomonadota; Betaproteobacteria; Burkholderiales; Alcaligenaceae
Description: bacterial SSU rRNA
Rfam family: Bacterial small subunit ribosomal RNA
Source: RNAcentral